AUGAAGACAAAUGUUCCUUCUUUAUUCAUGUUUCUGUGGCUGCAGCGGCAUGGGCUGAGCCAAGGAGAGCAGGUGGAACAGCAUCCUUCUACCCUGAGAGUCCAAGAUGGAGCCAGCGCUGUCAUCAACUGCACAUAUGUAGACAGAACCUCGUACAGCUUCCUUUGGUAUAAGCAAGGACCUGGAGCGCAUCCUAAGCUCAUUGUUGACAUUCAUUCAAAUGUGGGAAGAAAGCAUGAUGAAAGACUGAUUGUUUUUCUGGAUAAGAAAGCCAAACACUUCUCCCUGCACAUCACAGAUGCCCAGCCUGAAGACUCUGCCAUGUAUUUCUGUGCCACAGAUACACACUGCUCCCCAGGCACCUGCAGUCUGUCCUCUAACCUGUCAUAG
Alexandromys fortis (reed vole) is the source of this 390-nucleotide non-coding RNA. The record is from the annotation of a RefSeq genome assembly. NCBI's taxonomy places the organism in Eukaryota, Metazoa, Chordata, Mammalia, Rodentia, Cricetidae.